RNAcentral lists this transfer RNA (65 nucleotides) under Cameraria ohridella. Its description in RNAcentral is "tRNA-Ser". The record is from RNAcentral. Lineage: Eukaryota; Metazoa; Arthropoda; Insecta; Lepidoptera; Gracillariidae.
AAUUAAUGAGCUUGAACAAGCAUUUGUUUUGAAAACUUAAGAUAGAAUUAUUAUUCUAUUAAUUU